This 530-nucleotide ribosomal RNA is filed under the name uncultured bacterium. RNAcentral describes it as "partial 16S ribosomal RNA". The record is from RNAcentral.
GGAGUUAGCCGGUGCUUCUUCUGUGAGUGAUGUCCUUCCUGCCGGUUAUUGACCCGCAGGCCUUCUUCCUCACUGAAAGUGCUUUACAACCCGAAGGCCUUCUUCACACACGCGGCAUGGCUGGAUCAGGGUUGCCCCCAUUGCGCAAUAUUCCCCACUGCUGCCUCCCGUAGGAGUCUGGGCCGUGUCUCAGUCCCAAUGUGGCCGAUCAACCUCUCAGUUCGGCUACAGAUCGUUGACUAGGUAGGCCGUUACCCUACCUACUAUCUAAUCUGACGCGAGUCCAUCCAUAAGCGAUAAAAUCUUUCAAGAAGCUACCAUGCGAUAGCUGCUCAAUAUGCGGUAUUAGUCCACGUUUCCAUGGAUUAUCCCCCUCCUUAUGGGCAGGUUACUCACGCGUUACUCACCCGUCCGCCGCUUUCCUUCAAUUACUUUGUCCCGAAGGACUCCGUUACUGAAUUCUCGCUCGACUUGCAUGUGUUAGGCACGCCGCCAGCGUUCGUCCUCGAGCCACUAAUACAAACUACUGA